GAUGAACGCUAGCGGCAGGCCUAAUACAUGCAAGUCGAACGAGAUCAGUUCUUUCGGGAACUGGUUUAGUGGCGCACGGGUGCGUAACGCGUAUGCAACCUACCUUCCACAGGGGGAUAGCCUUCCGAAAGGGAGAUUAAUACCGCAUAACACCUUUUCCUGGCAUCAGGAGAUGGUCAAAGAUUUAUCGGUGGAAGACGGGCAUGCGUGCCAUUAGUUAGUUGGUAGGGUAACGGCCUACCAAGACUUCGAUGGCUAGGGGUUCUGAGAGGAUGGUCCCCCACACUGGUACUGAGACACGGACCAGACUCCUACGGGAGGCAGCAGUAGGGAAUAUUGGGCAAUGGCCGAGAGGCUGACCCAGCCAUGCCGCGUGCAGGAAGAAGGCCUUCUGGGUUGUAAACUGCUUUUUAUCUGGGAAGAAAACGCCCCUGCGGGGGUAACUGACGGUACCAGAUGAAUAAGCACCGGCUAACUCCGUGCCAGCAGCCGCGGUAAUACGGAGGGUGC
Molecule: ribosomal RNA, 510 nt
Filed under: uncultured bacterium
Lineage: Bacteria
Description: bacterial SSU rRNA
Rfam family: Bacterial small subunit ribosomal RNA
Source: RNAcentral